UGGUGAGAUAGAGGUGCGGCUAUUAAGAGUAUGCAUUCAUGAGCAGGCCGGCGAUGAAGGGUGCAGAAAGGAAUAUCCGCCGAAGCAGCAGGUCAUGGCCAAGGGCCUUCUGCUGGUCUUGCCGCUAAAUAAGGGUAAGACUGUCAUCCGAGCAAAUUCGGGUGGAGCGCUAUCUUGCAC
RNAcentral lists this non-coding RNA (180 nucleotides) under Thermosinus carboxydivorans. RNAcentral describes it as "Lysine sequence". It matches the Rfam family "Lysine riboswitch aptamer". Rfam says of the family: Riboswitches are metabolite binding domains within certain messenger RNAs that serve as precision sensors for their corresponding targets. Allosteric rearrangement of mRNA structure is mediated by ligand binding, and this results in modulation of gene expression. This family includes riboswitches that sense lysine in a number of genes involved in lysine metabolism, including lysC. Lineage: Bacteria; Bacillati; Bacillota; Negativicutes; Selenomonadales; Sporomusaceae. The record is from RNAcentral. RNAcentral also lists the same sequence under 1 other name.